RNAcentral lists this long non-coding RNA (1038 nucleotides) under Mytilus galloprovincialis (Mediterranean mussel). The record is from RNAcentral. Lineage: Eukaryota; Metazoa; Mollusca; Bivalvia; Mytilida; Mytilidae.
GAAAUUUCCUUUCGUUCUAAAAAUAGAUCCCUGCAUCAAGGAGCUGAAAUGGGUCCCUGUUAGAGUUUUCCGUUUCUCAAUAGGUACACGUGUUUUUUAAAACAUUUCGAUCUUCUCGGCGUUUAUCUAAUUAGCGUGUGUCAUGAAGUCAUAUUUUUUUCGCAUUGCGGAUUUAUCAUAACAUACAUUGAAUUAAAACAAAAGUGAAUGUCCGGUAAAAAUAUUGAAUAGAAGCAUGUUUUCUGCUUCUUUUGAAAAGCUAAGGGAAAGUUAUGAUGAUAACAAGACUCAGCCAGUGUUUUUAGGAAGCGUCCAUCGAACAAACAGGCGUGUGUGCGUACCUUAACGAGAUCAUUGCUAAUAGAGCAGGGUUUCCUCAAAAACGAAAUCAGUUGGAAAAAGUGAAAGGCCAAAUCAAUUAUGACAUGAUAAAGCAUCAGAAACCAAAAGUUCUAAUAAAAGACAACUAAACCAAGAUUUAUGAAAAUUGGAAUAAAACAAAAACAUUCAAGUAUAAUUAGAGUUUAUAAACUAUUUUUUUCAUUUUACGGUUAAUUAAUGAAUACACAUACAGGCACUGGUCUCAGAAUUUAUUUUAUAAAGGUAUAAGACGAGUGCCUGUGAAUACACAUAUAUAUCCAUUUGUUACAGUUUAUAUGAGAAAAUACAAAACUGGCAGAGGGUUUGAAACGGAACACAAAUUAAACCUACAAUUGCUUCUCAGUCAAUAAACCAAAUAAAACAGCUAGCAAAUAACCCUAACCCUAACCCUAAACCAAAUAAAACAGCUAAACAAAGAAAGAAACAUAUUUAAGAUGGAAAAAAAAAUCUGGGGUUGAUAAUUGCCUAAAUAUUCAAUAUUGUGUUGAUGAAAAAACCCAAUACAUUAAGGAGCUUGGUGGUGAAAAACCCAAUUUGAUAUUAACAUGAGGGGUGAAUUGGAAUUGAUAAUGCAAUCAAAAAACUUUAUCACCCAAUUAUAUAAGAAAAUGGUGGGUAAAAAACCCAAUUUGUGAAUUCUUAUCUGGAGCUCUGUUA